ACAUGCACUUGUUCGCUUGACCCUAUAACGAGAGCGUCUCGCGGUCAGAGUUAGUGCUUUAGCACUUACUCUGAGCUCGCCCCCUUGCGGGGCAGACACUUUAUACGCUACAGGUUUGAGUUCUCGCGUUGUGCCGUAUUCCAAGUGACGUUAAGAUCACUUAAAUACUUUGGAUACAAUCACUACCCAUCGAUAUCUUCCACGUCCAUCUCAAGACGCUUCCAAUAUCCAUUACUACUUCUUCCAGAUUGUUAAAGAUCGACAGCCGACUCACUACUUCAGUCGCUCUGACUGGCUCAAUCGCCAAUGCAAAAUACUCAGGGCUGAAUACUUGGCAUUGAAGAUUGUCCCCCUUCGGGGAUCGCCCCCCUCGCAAGCGCUCAAGCGCUAACGAUGGCGGGGAUGGUGGAGGCAGACGGGCAUCGAACCGACGACCCCCUGCUUGCAAAGCAGGUGCUCUCCCAGCUGAGCUAUGCCCCCAUACAGAGACUGCUCAGGUUUCUUGCGCCAGACAAUUGGUGGGUCUGGUUGGAUUCGAACCAACGACCCCCGCCUUAUCAAGACGGUGCUCUAACCGACUGAGCUACAGACCCCUGAGUCUGUCUUGAUCUACAGCCGAUAAGCUGUGGGCGCUUAACGUUGAACACGUAAGCUCGAGAAAGGAGGUGAUCCAGCCGCACCUUCCGA
This 687-nucleotide transfer RNA is filed under the name uncultured bacterium. Its description in RNAcentral is "partial ITS between 16S rRNA and 23S rRNA". The record is from RNAcentral.